Molecule: ribosomal RNA, 120 nt
Filed under: Oryctolagus cuniculus (rabbit)
Lineage: Eukaryota; Metazoa; Chordata; Mammalia; Lagomorpha; Leporidae
Source: RNAcentral
AUCUACGGCCAUACCACCCUGGAUGUGACUGAUCUCGUCUGAUCUCGGAAGCUAAGCAGCGUCAGACCUGAUCAGUACUUGGAUGGGAGAAAUUGCUCUCAAGAUUUAGGUGAGUAGGGC